UGGGGAAUAUUGGGCAAUGGGCGCAAGCCUGACCCAGCAACGCCGCGUGAAGGAAGAAGGCUUUCGGGUUGUAAACUUCUUUUCUUAGGGACGAAGAAAGUGACGGUACCUAAGGAAUAAGCCACGGCUAACUACGUGCC
Molecule: ribosomal RNA, 140 nt
Filed under: uncultured bacterium
Lineage: Bacteria
Description: partial 16S ribosomal RNA
Rfam family: Bacterial small subunit ribosomal RNA
Source: RNAcentral